Molecule: small nuclear RNA, 119 nt
Filed under: Ancylostoma caninum (dog hookworm)
Lineage: Eukaryota; Metazoa; Nematoda; Chromadorea; Rhabditida; Ancylostomatidae
Description: U5 spliceosomal RNA
Rfam family: U5 spliceosomal RNA
About the family: U5 RNA is a component of both types of known spliceosome. The precise function of this molecule is unknown, though it is known that the 5' loop is required for splice site selection and p220 binding, and that both the 3' stem-loop and the Sm site are important for Sm protein binding and cap methylation.
Source: RNAcentral
AUCUCUGGUUCCUUUGCAUUUGACCGAGAAAAUCUUUCGCCUUUUACUAAAGAUUUCCGUGCAAAGGCGCAUUUUAUGAGUAUCAAGUAAUUUUGGAAUCCCCUCGAAAGAGCGGGAUG